RNAcentral lists this ribosomal RNA (743 nucleotides) under uncultured Bacillus sp. Its description in RNAcentral is "bacterial SSU rRNA". It matches the Rfam family "Bacterial small subunit ribosomal RNA", at positions 28 to 752 of the family's 1533-position model. Lineage: Bacteria; Bacillati; Bacillota; Bacilli; Caryophanales; Bacillaceae. The record is from RNAcentral.
GACGAACGCUGGCGGCGUGCCUAAUACACGCAAGUCGAGCGGACCGACGGGAGCUUGCUCCCUUAGGUCAGCGGCGGACGGGUGAGUAACACGUGGGUAACCUGCCUGUAAGACUGGGAUAACUCCGGGAAACCGGGGCUAAUACCGGAUGCUUGAUUGAACCGCAUGGUUCAAUCAUAAAAGGUGGCUUUCAGCUACCACUUACAGAUGGACCCGCGGCGCAUUAGCUAGUUGGUGAGGUAACGGCUCACCAAGGCGACGAUGCGUAGCCGACCUGAGAGGGUGAUCGGCCACACUGGGACUGAGACACGGCCCAGACUCCUACGGGAGGCAGCAGUAGGGAAUCUUCCGCAAUGGACGAAAGUCUGACGGAGCAACGCCGCGUGAGUGAUGAAGGUUUUCGGAUCGUAAAACUCUGUUGUUAGGGAAGAACAAGUACCGUUCGAAUAGGGCGGCACCUUGACGGUACCUAACCAGAAAGCCACGGCUAACUACGUGCCAGCAGCCGCGGUAAUACGUAGGUGGCAAGCGUUGUCCGGAAUUAUUGGGCGUAAAGCGCGCGCAGGCGGUUUCUUAAGUCUGAUGUGAAAGCCCCCGGCUCAACCGGGGAGGGUCAUUGGAAACUGGGGAACUUGAGUGCAGAAGAGGAGAGUGGAAUUCCACGUGUAGCGGUGAAAUGCGUAGAGAUGUGGAGGAACACCAGUGGCGAAGGCGACUCUCUGGUCUGUAACUGACGCUGAGGC